GCCUUCCUGAUCUAAGUUAUGGGAAAGUGGACUUUUAUUUUCUAUUUAAAGAAAUAGGAGUCUUCGUAAUGCAUUAGUAAUUCUAGCCAAAAAGUGUUUGAUAUGAACUUGAUUUCACAAAAGAAGGCAGUCUUCAACAUACUCACCCAUUUCUGCUCAGAAGCAUCAUCACUUUCAGUUUUUACAAAAAGUAAAAACUAUUUUGGAAUUGGAAAUGAAGUCACUUUUAAUGCAACAAUCCCCACACAAAGUUUAAGAAAAAGGAACAAAUAAUUUUUUUUUAACUAGAAAAGGUUUAUUGAACUUAGUGAGAAUUUGGUAUUUAUAAUCAAAUACAGUAAAUUUUAGCAGAAAUGUACCAUGCUUAUUACAGGGCAAUCUCUCCAUCUUUAGUAUUCCUUUAUUAUUUUCACUCAUCUUCUGCUUUUCCACUAGACUCUUAAAAAAACACUUUAAGCUUCUUUCAUUGAUAUAUAAUAGUUGUACAUAUUUAUGGGGUACAUGUGAUAUUUUGAUAAAAGCAUCCAAUGUGUAAUGACCAAGUUGGGGUAACUGGAACAGCCAUCACCUCAAAAUUGAUCAUCUCUUUGUGUUGGGAACAUUCCAAAUCUUCAAGCUAUUUUGAAAUAUACAAUAGAUUAUUGUUAACUAUAGUUUUCCUCUUGUGCUACUGAACACUAGACCUUAUUUCUUCUAUCCAAUUGUACUUUUGUACCUGUUGCCAACCCCUCUUCAUCCCACUACCCUUCCCAGCUUCUAGUAACCACUA
Molecule: long non-coding RNA, 769 nt
Filed under: Homo sapiens (human)
Lineage: Eukaryota; Metazoa; Chordata; Mammalia; Primates; Hominidae
Description: HSALNT0335986
Source: RNAcentral